Molecule: ribosomal RNA, 757 nt
Filed under: Haemophilus influenzae
Lineage: Bacteria; Pseudomonadati; Pseudomonadota; Gammaproteobacteria; Pasteurellales; Pasteurellaceae
Description: bacterial SSU rRNA
Rfam family: Bacterial small subunit ribosomal RNA
Source: RNAcentral
GCAGGCUUAACACAUGCAAGUCGAACGGUAGCAGGAGAAAGCUUGCUUUCUUGCUGACGAGUGGCGGACGGGUGAGUAAUGCUUGGGAAUCUGGCUUAUGGAGGGGGAUAACGACGGGAAACUGUCGCUAAUACCGCGUAUUAUCGGAAGAUGAAAGUGCGGGACUGAGAGGCCGCAUGCCAUAGGAUGAGCCCAAGUGGGAUUAGGUAGUUGGUGGGGUAAAUGCCUACCAAGCCUGCGAUCUCUAGCUGGUCUGAGAGGAUGACCAGCCACACUGGAACUGAGACACGGUCCAGACUCCUACGGGAGGCAGCAGUGGGGAAUAUUGCGCAAUGGGGGGAACCCUGACGCAGCCAUGCCGCGUGAAUGAAGAAGGCCUUCGGGUUGUAAAGUUCUUUCGGUAUUGAGGAAGGUUGAUGUGUUAAUAGCACAUCAAAUUGACGUUAAAUACAGAAGAAGCACCGGCUAACUCCGUGCCAGCAGCCGCGGUAAUACGGAGGGUGCGAGCGUUAAUCGGAAUAACUGGGCGUAAAGGGCACGCAGGCGGUUAUUUAAGUGAGGUGUGAAAGCCCCGGGCUUAACCUGGGAAUUGCAUUUCAGACUGGGUAACUAGAGUACUUUAGGGAGGGGUAGAAUUCCACGUGUAGCGGUGAAAUGCGUAGAGAUGUGGAGGAAUACCGAAGGCGAAGGCAGCCCCUUGGGAAUGUACUGACGCUCAUGUGCGAAAGCGUGGGGAGCAAACAGGAUUAGAUACCCU